CCGCAGCCCUAGUGGUGAUCGAUAUUAUUGAGCCUAAAGCGUCCGUAGCCGGUCUGGUAAAUUCUUGGGUAAAUCGGGCAGCUUAACUGUCCGACUUCCGAGGAGACUGCCAGACUUGGGACCGGGAGAGGUCAGAGGUACUCCAGGGGUAGGGGCUAAAUCCUGUAAUCCUUGGGGGACCACCAGUGGCGAAGGCGUCUGACUAGAACGGAUCCGACGGUAAGGGACGAAACCCUGGGGCGCAAACCGGAUUAGAUACCCGCGUAGUCC
RNAcentral lists this ribosomal RNA (270 nucleotides) under uncultured archaeon. Its description in RNAcentral is "partial 16S ribosomal RNA". It matches the Rfam family "Archaeal small subunit ribosomal RNA", at positions 477 to 747 of the family's 1478-position model. The record is from RNAcentral.